RNAcentral lists this non-coding RNA (24 nucleotides) under Arabidopsis thaliana (thale cress). Lineage: Eukaryota; Viridiplantae; Streptophyta; Magnoliopsida; Brassicales; Brassicaceae. The record is from RNAcentral.
AGAAAGCACAGACAAAAACAAACA